UUGAUAAUGUGAAUGAUUAGCUUUUGCUAUUCAUUUCAUUACCAUUAAUCAUGUGCACCGUUUCUGCCAUAUUGGCGAUCGAAAGGUCGUCGUAUGGACCCCAUUAUAAUUUACCCUUAUUAACUUUAUAUACCAGUAUUUUAUACUAAUCUUGA
Molecule: unclassified non-coding RNA, 155 nt
Filed under: uncultured fungus
Lineage: Eukaryota; Fungi
Description: sequence contains ITS1
Source: RNAcentral